Molecule: ribosomal RNA, 460 nt
Filed under: uncultured bacterium
Lineage: Bacteria
Description: partial 16S ribosomal RNA
Rfam family: Bacterial small subunit ribosomal RNA
Source: RNAcentral
CCUACGGGUGACAGCAGUGAGGAAUAUUGGUCAAUGGGCGCGAGCCUGAACCAGCCAAGUAGCGUGAAGGAUGACUGCCCUACGGGUUGUAAACUUCUUUUAUAAAGGAAUAAAGUGAGGCACGUGUGCCUUUUUGUAUGUACUUUAUGAAUAAGGAUCGGCUAACUUCGUGCCAGCAGCCGCGGUAAUACGGAGGAUCCGAGCGUUAUCCGGAUUUAUUGGGUUUAAAGGGAGCGUAGAUGGGUUGUUAAGUCAGUUGUGAAAGUUUGCGGCUCAACCGUAAAAUUGCAAUUGAUACUGGCAGCCUUGAGUACAGGUGAGGUAGGCGGAAUUCGUGGUGUAGCGGUGAAAUGCGUAGAUAUCAGGAGGAACUCCGAUGGCGAAGGCAGCCUACUAGACUGCCACUGACGUUGAGGCGCGAAAGUGUGGGGAUCAAACAGGAUUAGAUACCCGAGUAGUC